This is a long non-coding RNA of Mustela erminea (ermine), 473 nucleotides long. RefSeq lists it as uncharacterized. The record is from RefSeq and is a predicted model, not a curated record. Lineage: Eukaryota; Metazoa; Chordata; Mammalia; Carnivora; Mustelidae. The transcript is spliced from 3 exons.
AGCCCUCUUUGCACUCUCCUUGUCCAUAGCAACCUGCCCUAGGAGCCCGCCCGGAAGGUGUCCCCACCUGGAAGGAAUGACAGCCCUGUGGCGCCUGAGGAUGUAAAAGGGUUAGAGGAACCUCAGCCACACCGUCUGGAGGCCCGGCGGGCGUGCACACCUCCUCCAGGCAGCCCCCCCGCCACACACACACCCUAGGAAACGCUCUGAACACCUCGGAGAGGAAGGAACAAUGUGCUGGAGUGAAUUCUAAAUUAAUUGAUCCUUACCAGGGCCUCAGGGGGCCUACUGGUUCUUCUCUUCCACACCCCUGCCUUGCACUGAGUAUGUUUUGUUUUCCUUUCUCCACAGUAAGCCCUGAUGGGUUUGUGCAGCAGAGGGAUGAGAGGAUCAUGCCGGGGUGGGGGUUGGGAGGAGUCUGUGACGAUGGGGUUGAGAGCCAAUGAUCUGGCCCCUCGCCCGGGCGCAGCCAC